RNAcentral lists this ribosomal RNA (482 nucleotides) under uncultured bacterium. RNAcentral's name for it is "bacterial SSU rRNA". It matches the Rfam family "Bacterial small subunit ribosomal RNA", at positions 28 to 526 of the family's 1533-position model. The record is from RNAcentral.
GACGAACGCUGGCGGCGUGCUUAACACAUGCAAGUCGAACGGUGACGAAGGAGCUUGCUCCUUCUGAUCAGUGGCGAACGGGUGAGUAACACGUGAGCAACCUACCCUUGACUCUGGGAUAACAGCUGGAAACAGCUGCUAAUACCGGAUACGAACUCCGCGGGCAUCUGCGGAGUUGGAAAGCUCCGACGGUCAGGGAUGGGCUCGCGGCCUAUCAGCUUGUUGGUGAGGUAACGGCUCACCAAGGCGACGACGGGUAGCCGGCCUGAGAGGGCGACCGGCCACACUGGGACUGAGAUACGGCCCAGACUCCUACGGGAGGCAGCAGUGGGGAAUAUUGCGCAAUGGGCGAAAGCCUGACGCAGCAACGCCGCGUGCGGGACGACGGCCUUCGGGUUGUAAACCGCUUUCAGCAGGGACGAAAAUGACGGUACCUGUAGAAGAAGCACCGGCUAACUACGUGCCAGCCGCCGCCGUAAAAC